AUACGUGUUUGGAUUUAUUUUAUUAAAUUAAAUUGUUUUUUUACUUUUUACUUAUAGAUUAGCUAUAUAUAACAAAGACUUUUACUCUCUUACUUUAAAGUAAAAUAUUCAGUUUGUGUGUAAAUUUUUGAAUCAAACUUUAAAAUGGUGUUUAAAUGCUGUGUACCAAACAGGACUGAGAAGAGUGAGAACGCUGCCUUAAUGUCAGGAUUGAAUUGUUUAUAAACUCUGCAAUGUUACAAAAAGAUACUUGAAAUAUUUUAAUUUUAUUAUGAGCUUUAAUUUUGGUACUUUCCUGUAAAUUGUGCCGUUAAUUUUUUAAAUAAAUAUUUUAAUUUUUGAA
Long non-coding RNA from Diabrotica virgifera virgifera (western corn rootworm), 343 nucleotides. RefSeq lists it as uncharacterized. The transcript is spliced from 2 exons. Lineage: Eukaryota; Metazoa; Arthropoda; Insecta; Coleoptera; Chrysomelidae. The record is from RefSeq and is a predicted model, not a curated record.